ACAAACUAGGUUUGUAAUCUAUCCACAUCUAGUGAAACCUUGCAUUUUUACUGAAAUACCCUUUUGCACACUUAUGAACUACAUGUUGGGAUUGAGCCCCUAAAAGUAGGGCAUGAUAUAAUGAAGAUAGAGUUUACCUUCUACUUGUUAUUCCUUUUAUGCAUUGAUCUUGAUUUAAUCACUCAACCCAUAUCGCUUAUAUUAUACAUGAUUUGGUUGCAUUAGGAGUUGUAUAGAAGAUAUAACUCAUGGGUUAUUUACAAGAUAAGUUGUUCAUAGUCAAUUAAUGAAUUUGGGCAAUUCA
Molecule: long non-coding RNA, 304 nt
Filed under: Vitis vinifera (wine grape)
Lineage: Eukaryota; Viridiplantae; Streptophyta; Magnoliopsida; Vitales; Vitaceae
Description: long non-coding RNA (VVIN_LNC003306)
Source: RNAcentral